This 468-nucleotide ribosomal RNA is filed under the name uncultured bacterium. Its description in RNAcentral is "partial 16S ribosomal RNA". It matches the Rfam family "Bacterial small subunit ribosomal RNA", at positions 28 to 507 of the family's 1533-position model. The record is from RNAcentral.
GACGAACGCUGGCGGCGUGCUUAACACAUGCAAGUCGAACGGAAAGGCCCUGCUUUUGUGGGGUGCUCGAGUGGCGAACGGGUGAGUAACACGUGAGUAUCCUGCCCUUGACUUUGGGAUAACUUCAGGAAACUGGGGCUAAUACCGGAUAGGAGCUCCUGCUGCAUGGUGGGGGUUGGAAAGUUUCGGCGGUUGGGGAUGGACUCGCGGCUUAUCAGCUUGUUGGUGGGGUAGUGGCUUACCAAGGCUUUGACGGGUAGCCGGCCUGAGAGGGUGACCGGCCACAUUGGGACUGAGAUACGGCCCAGACUCCUACGGGAGGCAGCAGUGGGGAAUAUGGCACAAUGGGCGGAAGCCUGAUGCAGCAACGCCGCGUGCGGGAUGACGGCCUUCGGGUUGUAAACCGCUUUCGCCUGUGACGAAGCGUGAGUGACGGUAAUGGGUAAAGAAGCACCGGCUAACUACGUG